This 67-nucleotide transfer RNA is filed under the name Marmota monax (woodchuck). It matches the Rfam family "tRNA". From Rfam's summary of the family: Transfer RNA (tRNA) molecules are approximately 80 nucleotides in length. Their secondary structure includes four short double-helical elements and three loops (D, anti-codon, and T loops). Lineage: Eukaryota; Metazoa; Chordata; Mammalia; Rodentia; Sciuridae. The record is from Rfam by way of RNAcentral.
GGUGCUGUAGCUCAGUGGUAGAGCACUUGCCUAGCAGAGGAGGCACUGGGUUUGAUUCUCAGCACCA